This 74-nucleotide unclassified non-coding RNA is filed under the name Chitinophaga sp. CF418. Lineage: Bacteria; Pseudomonadati; Bacteroidota; Chitinophagia; Chitinophagales; Chitinophagaceae. The record is from RNAcentral.
CGGAGCCGUGUAACGGGAGACUGUUACGCAUGGUUCUAACAGCAUUCCGGACCGGGAUGUCCGGGUUUACUUAC